Non-coding RNA from Microcebus murinus (gray mouse lemur), 5296 nucleotides. NCBI's taxonomy places the organism in Eukaryota, Metazoa, Chordata, Mammalia, Primates, Cheirogaleidae. The record is from RefSeq and is a predicted model, not a curated record.
CAAAAACAACCGGAUAAAUGUGCUAGGCAGCCCGCAUGUGGCCCGUGGGCUGUAGUUUGAGGACGACACCUGCUUUACUGAGAAGCUACAGAGACAAAGUGCACCAUAACCUCAGACAUACCCACUAAAUUAGCAUGGUUACAGCAUAAUACAUUGGUUACAAGCCUAAGCUUUGGAAUCAGAUAGCUCUGAAUUUGAAUUCCAGUACUUCCUCUUACUAGCUGAGCAACAUUGGGCAAACCACCUAGCCUUUGUAUCAGACAUAACUCCCUUGAUUGCAAGUAACAGUUCCUUCAGAAGAAUUGAAAAUUGAUUGGUCUACAUACUUGGGAAACCCAAGGGGUCUGCUCCCCAUGUAUAAAGAAUCUACAUUUUAGGCUCUCUUACUUACAAUGCUCCUUUUCUGUACCAGUUUAUUAGUCACUUUUGGUGACAACUGACAAAACCACAUCACAAAAUAGCUUAAGCAAAUAGGAAGUUUAUAGGCCCACGUGACUUGGUGGUUACAGAUUAUUGUACACCUUAGCCAUGAUUGAAUCUAGGGCUCACAUGAUAUCUUUUUCUCUAUGUUUCUAAUAAGCAUGCUCUACAUGGUGAGUAAGAUGACCACCAGAAGCCCCGGACUUAACUUGACAAUUCCCAGGAGACAAGGAUCAUAUCUUCUCUCAUAGAAAAUUCCAGAGAAAUUUCUGUUUGACUCAACCUGGGUCAGUGCCCAUUUGUGACCAAGAGGAUGGGGUGCUCUGAUUGACUGAGCCUGAGUACACAUUCAUCCCUUUGACUAAGGGUAGACUGUAUAAUCAAACUGCAUGAAAUGAGUUCUCUACAGGAGAGAGGAGUUUUGAGUGCUGGACUGUUCAUAGUAACAUGCUCACUGCAACUUCCUAGUCUUGAUCUCCUCACCUAUAAAAUCAGGAUUAUUCUCUUUUCUCAUAGCACUAUUAUAAGAUUAAAUAACAUAUGUAAGGCAUCUACAACACUGCUCAAAUGAUGGUAGCUAGUAUUUUGCCAAACAGUAACUUACUACUAUUUUGUUUAGGACACGUGAUUUUGUGUCAAUUUGGCUAGACCAAACUGCAUUUCCCAGAAUUCCCUUUCCUAUUUGUUUCUGAUUAGCCUGUGCCAAAAAAAAAAAAAAAAAAAAGAUUCUUGCAUGAGAUUUGGAAGUGAAGCAGCAGCCAUUUUGUGGCUCACAAAUCUUGUUACGUAUCUGCUAGUUCACCCUGCUGGUGUGAGGCGGCAGUCAAGCCUGCAGCACUUCCACCUUCCCCUGGCUCCUUCUUCAGCUUCUCAACUCCAGGCCAGAGGUGCGUUUAGUUCCAUGACAGAGGUUGCCAGCUUCUCCCGAAGGACACUCAGACCAUCAAGUCAGAGGCAGCAAGAACUGACAGUGGUUUCCACCCUUCCUCUUAGGUUCUACCUCGUGCUUGUAGGUUCUAGCUUAUUCUUUUUUUCCCUCUACUUUACUCUCACCUGCCCUUCCCUGAGGACCUCAUACACUACCAUUGGACACAAAGAUGACAGCUUCACAGAGACUCCAUAACCAGCUUCCAAAAUUACAGAAGAUCAAAUCUAACCCUUCCUCCCUCUCUCUCUCCCCACCCCCACAACACCUUUAAGUGGUUCUGCUUCUCUCAUUGGAUUCUGACUAAUAAAAACAGAAGCCAAGUUUCCUACAUGCCCACCAAUCUCCCUUUGGGGAAAGAAGACCCUUUGGAAAUUGUUUCAAGGGAAGCACAAAUUAGGCUAAAUCUAGAACUAAUAGUUACAGUAAGUGUCAAAAUAAUUUAUAAAAAAUAAAGCUGGAGAAAAACACAAAAUACCACAGCACCAACCACAUUUUAACUUCCCCACUAGAGGCACAGACCAGCAUCUUCUGUCACGGAUCCCAUAUUGGCUCCGACUUGCCCAAGGUCAGGAGCAAAGCUCACACAAGAGUCAACGAGAUGCUUCGGCCAAGGGGGGGGGGGGUUCAAAUGUUUAAAUCAAGCAGGAGCCCUUUUCAGUCUAGUUACAUAAAAGCUUAAGUCCAACGGGUGAGGAUGUCCAUCACACCCAUACAUGUGCAGGGUGGGAAUUUCUCGCCACGUGCCUUUCUGCAGCUGAGACUUGGCUGGGUCCCCCGUAGCGGCUGCCCAGGACAGUGUUCUCUGGACUUCCUCAUUCCUGGCCUCUCCACACAGGAAGCAGCAAAGCAGUACAUGUUGCUCCCUUCUGUGAGCUGUGGAGAACCUCAGAGCAUGCAACACUGGCUGAGAAAGGAAGUAUUCCCAUCCUGUCACGGGAACUGAGAGUUAGGAAAACUUUUAUAUGAAGGAAGUAAAAUGAGGAUCUAUGGCGAGAACAGCAGCUCCCUUCUCAGGCUCUCUGAGAACUUUCCAAGCCUGACAGACAGGCCCUCUAGGAGCUGACCGUGAGGCCUCUCCAGCCCACACACUCCAGCCAUCCUCGGUGUGGCUGCCCCGGGUCCCUGCAUGGCGUCUCCUGCCUGGAAGGCUCCUACCCAGCCCUCUUACUUCUACUCUGCAGUGGUCAGCUCAAGCCUGGCCUCCUCCAGGAAACCCUACCUCCCUCUCUCUCUUUUGGAAGUUUCCAAAGCAAGCAGAGUCUUUACUACACAGUCAAGCAUCCCUCUGUGAUCCCUUCUGGAAGUUACCGAGUAAUCAGUUCCUCCAACAUUCCCUUUGCUAAUAUCUUCUCUGGCCACCAGCUGCAGUCCCGGUAUUCCUGGGACUGUCUGGAUGGCUGUGGUCUGCCCACCUGCUCACCAUGGUGUGUGGUUAGUAGGAAAGCAUGUAAUAAGAUAUUCAGUCAGCAAAAGGCCUGAGGAGGCUGCAGUCCUGUGGGGCUUCCCUCACUCCGGGCAGCUGAAGGGGAGGGUGGGGAGGAUGGCUCCAGGUUGGCUCUGCAGCCAGGAGGCCUUGGGGGAGUUCUCUGAUGCAACUGCCUUCCCUGGGUCUGUGCAGUGGGCAUCCCCCCAGAACUUCCAAGAGGCCACAGGCUACCAUCUCUGCUGCAGCCUCUGCUAUGUUCUUGGCUCCUAAAUCUUGGCCACAGCCUCAGCUUGGCCCCACUGACACCGGCUGAGCUCAUGAUCAGGAACCCGAUUCUGGAGUCAGCUCCCUGGGCUCUGGCUGGGUGGCUGGGUCCCUCCUGAUGCCUUAGUUUUCUCGUGCAGAAAAUGAGGGUGAUAUUAGUACCUACUUCACUAGGUUAUUCAGAGGAUCAAAUGAUCUAUUUCUGUUAAAUCAGAGUAAUCCCUGACAUAUAAGUGUUGGCUAUUCUUGUUUAAUAUUAUUUUAAUGGAAGAGGAAGAAGAGAUGGCCAAUUAUCUCUAGGUGAGAGGCCACCUGAUUUUUGUGAGCCCUUUAUCCUAAAGUUUUCUUUAGGAUAAUCUGGUUUAGGAUAAAUCUGGUUCCUAUAGCUAGAGGCAGUUCUGGCCUUCUGAGGAACUUUUUACUGCAGCUACUCCUGGGUUUCAUUCUGUGCUGUCCUCUGUCUCCCAAGAGGCAAGCCAUGGCUGAGUUCUAAAAAAGUUGUCUUUAACUGCCACCCUGAUUUAGUCUAUCUCUAAUUGUUUUGAAUGUGUUAAUCAUGAUAACUUAAACUUCUGUGUGCUUUUUGAGGCAAGCAAUUCGGUCUUGUGCAUUUUUCUUUAUUUCCCAACUACGCCUAACAUAGUUCUAGGCACUGGUUGAGUGACACAUAGAAUCUUAGAGAACCCAAAAGCAAUUUACCACCCCAUUGCCUAGUGUGCAUGAGACCAGAAGUAAUACAAGGUCAAGGGACACUCUUGACCUUGGACAUCUGAGUCUCGAUCAGGCAGGUUGGCAGAGAUACCCGGCUUGGAUUUUGGUAAGUUGAGAGAGUGGAAUGACAACCAGUAGAACUUCCAGCCCUGGCCUCUGUCCACUCCCUGAGGUUUGCAGUAAACCUAAGUAGCUUUAUUUGGGAGGCAGACAGGGGAGAUGCCAGCAAGAGCCAAUAAACAGACAUCCUUCUCUCUCUUGAUUUUAUUUCUUCAGCAAUGCACUGAAAUAAUGCUGAGCCAAGAGUCUGCAGUAAUCAAAUAGACAUGGACCAUGAAGGGGGUGUCAUUCCAGGCUGCAGGGAAAGCUCCAAGGUUCUGCUAUGGUUCUCCAUGGCCACUCUUUUUUUUUUUUUUUUUUUUUUUUUUUUACCGGAAAGGGAACUGUUUAUGGCAUCUCUUAGGUCCCUGUGGCAUUUUAGCGCAUUUGUUGAAAUGCUUUUAGAUUAGCAUUAAGUGUGUGUUAUCCUUGAAAAGACUGGAUGAGUAACAAACGAGCUAACCUAUCCUAUUUUCCAUAAAGAACUCUAAAUUCCUCCCACUUCCCUGAACAAAAUAUCUGUAUUCCCACCCACACACUCUCAGCUAACCUGCUGCCGAGGCUGAAACCCAGCCAAGCUGGGCCUCAGCACUGCUCCCGGGGCUUCAGGCUGCUCCCCAGCCAGCCAGGUCCUUGACUCUGAGUUCUUGCUCUGCUCUGAUGUAGAUAAAGGCAAAUUAAUUGGGGCCAAGAGUCCCUCUGCCAGAUGGGCUGAAAUGCCAUAGACUGACUGCAGUCAGCAGUCCUCAGGGGAGUCCAGACGUUAAACGCUUUGCUGUGCAGAAGUUGUCAGCAAGCAGCAAAGCAGACCAGCCCCCAACCGCCAUGCAUGCCAUGUUCCUGCUCGGGCUUCCAGGUGCCCUCUGCCCCUCACCUGAAAGGCCUUCCCUUCUCCUAGGCACCUGACAAAUCCUACUGUCUUUCAACACUCAGCCAAAGCUCCUCUGCCUCAGCCAUUCCUUCAGAAUUGGUGCAUAUAUUGAGCACCUGCUGAAUUCCAGGAGGGACCCGAGGUGAGGAUACCAAGAUGAAACCCACGAGCUCUCCCUGCAAGCAGCUCCCAAUCUGGAAGGCUUCUCUGGCUGCUCCGGCCCACAAGCACUGCCCUUCUUUGAACCCCUUUGAACAAGUUUAAAGUAUAGUAUAGAUCUCACAGAAUCAUCAGUCUUAGAAACAGAAGGAACCUCAAAAAAUUCAUCUAGUCAGUCCAACCUUGGCUUUUGUAAAUAUAACCUCAACUUACAGAUAGGCUAACAGAGCCCAUGGGAGGAUAAGAGCAUUGUCCACAGUCACAGAGUGAGUUGGUGCACUUAGGUGCUCUAACUGCCCUCUGUGUUGGUCCUAUUCCCCAAAAGUUCCCUAAGCUUGCCAAGAUGGGGCCAGGACAUUUUAGCUUCCUGUCAACCUCUCUGUACACAUUAAGUGCCUAAUAAAGGCUGAUAACUUGC